RNAcentral lists this unclassified non-coding RNA (348 nucleotides) under soil metagenome. RNAcentral's name for it is "partial contains 5.8S ribosomal RNA, internal transcribed spacer 2, and large subunit ribosomal RNA". The stretch from base 1 to 120 matches the Rfam family "5.8S ribosomal RNA", at positions 35 to 154 of the family's 154-position model. The record is from RNAcentral.
GAUGAAGAACGUAGCGAAAUGCGAUAAGUAAUGUGAAUUGCAGAAUUCAGUGAAUCAUCGAGUCUUUGAACGCACAUUGCGCCCCCUGGUAUUCCGGGGGGCAUGCCUGUCCGAGCGUCAUUGCUGCCCUCAAGCACGGCUUGCGUGUUGGGCCCCCGUCCCCGGUUUCCCCCGGGGACGGGCCCGAAAGGCAGCGGCGGCACCGCGUCCGGUCCUCGAGCGUAUGGGGCUUUGUCACCCGCUCUGUAGGCCCGGCCGGCGCCAGCCGACACCCAACUUUAUUUCUAAGGUUGACCUCGGAUCAGGUAGGGAUACCCGCUGAACUUAAGCAUAUCAAUAAGCGGAGGA